UCUUAGAUGACUGAGAGUAAGUGCUAGACUUUUAAUCUAGAAACGGCGAUUUAUGCCUCUAGGAACC
RNAcentral lists this transfer RNA (67 nucleotides) under Harpovoluta charcoti. RNAcentral describes it as "tRNA-Lys". It matches the Rfam family "tRNA". Rfam says of the family: Transfer RNA (tRNA) molecules are approximately 80 nucleotides in length. Lineage: Eukaryota; Metazoa; Mollusca; Gastropoda; Neogastropoda; Volutidae. The record is from RNAcentral.